AAAGAAAAUUCUCUUCUUAACCGUUAAGGAGUUUUAGACUAUUAACUACUCAGUUGCGACCCCCCCCCCCCCCCCCAACAAAAAAUCCUAGCUACGGCCCUGUCCUCAACCAUGUACUAGUAACUGUAAAAUGUGUUGAGAGCAUCAUUAAAUAAAACAUUUCCUUCCUUCCUUCCAUAUGACCUAUAUGGUAUAAUUGUAAUUAAAAAUGUGUUAAGUGUGUUGUUAAUUAAAACAUUUUCUUUUUCUUUUUUCCCACUCUUGACAAAGUGUCAAAAUAAGCAUUUAUUAAGACACACAGUAGUGGAAAUGAAAAAUGUGCCGAGGUGUCGACAACAUCUGCAUAAAUCCUGAAAUUAUUUAUUGAAUUCAAGGCAGGGAGCCUGUAUGUUGUUUUUUAGUUUAUUAGUUUUAAAACAGUUGGUUUUCACGUUAUAAAAAUAAAAUAAUUUUAACGUGGAAAAAAUUAUGUUUAUUUUGUUCUUUACAUUUUGGGAUAUUCAUAAAGGAUGUUAUGUAUUUUUAUUUUUUGUUUGAGCAAAGAUUUGCUUUUAAGUUCAUUUUAGGAAUUUUAAGAUCUUUUUCUUUUCAAGUUUGUUUCUGUGUACAUAUAGAUCUACCUGUAUGUAUUUUUAUGCAGAUUUGCUUCUAAUUAAAAAAAAUAUUUUGACUUAACAGGUUUUCUGCUAAUGUCAUGGGUUUUUUUUUUAGAUCAUUGCUAUGAAUAUUGUGUGGAAGAUAAAAGUUGUAGUGUCUAAAUAAAUCCAUACAUACAUACAUGUCCAUUAAUGUUCAUAUUGGGUGGUGAAGCUUUUUAUAUACAUGUAUUGAGAAAAUAUUUUAUUUUAAAGGACGAAGUAGAACGCAAUUAAGCUAUUAAAUAUUCAGGCCAUUCUAGUCCACCCACUUGCAUUGGUAUGGUUGUUUUUCUACUUUUUGGGGGGAGGGGGUUGAAGAUUGGUUGUAUGUAAUACUAAUACAUAAAGUGUUAUGGUACCUUUUGUAUAUGUUUAACAUGACAUAGAACUUCGAAUUGCUUCAGGAAAAUUUGACAAUACAGCUUCUGUCUGUGAUACGUGUAUACUGUUAAGUGUUUAUUCCACCUUUUUUGUUGCUAAAACAUUUCCAAGUUUAUCAUGUACAUAUAUUUGUACAACAUACUGCUACUUAAAUCAUGAGAUCUUACAUCUAGUGCUCAUUUUAAUUUUGUAUCGGCAAAGAUAUAUUUACAAUCAAGUGUUGGGCUGAGAUUGAGGUAUGUUUAGAAUCCGCCAAGAGAUUGGCUAAGAUUGAUGCAUAUUGCAUAGUGAUUGGUUAAGAUUACGGUAUGUUUACAAUCUUGUGAUUGGCUAAGAAUGAGAUGUUUAGAAUCCGCCAAGAGAUUGGCUAAGAAUGAGAUGUUUAGAAUUGGCUAAGAUUGAUGCAUAUUGCAUAGUGAUUGGUUAAGAUUACGGUAUGUUUACAAUCUUGUGAUUGGCUAAGAUUUAGGUAUGUUUUACAAUCUUGUAAUUGGUCAAUUUUUAGGUAUGUUUACAAUCUAGUGAUUGGUUAAGAUUACGGUAUGUUCACAAUCUUGUGAUUGGCUAAGAUUUAGGUAUGUUUUACAAUCUUGUAAUUGGCCAAUUUUUAGGUAUGUUUACAAUCUUGUAAUUGGCCAAGUUUGAGGUAUAUUUACCAGGGCUUCUAGAUUAUGGUAGCCCCACUCCCAUGGCUAGUGAUAUUCAAUGUUGGGCUUGUAAAUAACAACUAUUGCCAUGCCCAACGGCUAGUGAAUUUUUGUGAAUAUCCUGCCCCCACCACAACCCCCAGAGUUAAGUGUUUUUAAGCUCUAUUUCCCUCUUUAGGUGACAUAUCCAAUUAUUACUAUUAUUUAGAAAAUUGUAUUAUCUUAACAUAAAGUAGAGCUAGUGAAUUUUUAAUAGUGGCUAGUAAAUUUUUUAAAUCACUGAUCCUAUGGCUAGUGGAUUUUAUAUAAAUUCUAGAAGCCCUGUUUACAAUCUUGUGAUGGCUAACAUUGAGAUAUGUUUACAAUCUAGUGAUUGGCUAAGAUUGAAUAAUAUUUACAAUGAAGUAAUAAUACUAAUUGGUUAAGAUUCAGACAUGUUUACAGUCUAAUGAUUCGGGAAGAGGUAUGUUUACAAUCAAGUGAUUGACUAAGAUUGAGGCAUGUUUACAAUCUAGUGAUUGGCAAAGAGUGAAGUAUGUUUACAAUCUAGUGAUUAGUUAAGAUUGAGGCAUGUUUACGAUCUGGUGAUUAGGAAACGUGUUAGUGUUAAUGAAAGUUUCUAAGUAAUAAUGCAGUGUUUACAAAAAGAUUCUGUGACUUUUGUUUGAAUUACAUUUAACAAGUUUUGGAAAUAAUAGCAAUAGCCAUCUUUCAGUCCAAUUUGUGUAAUUAAAAUGUACACUCGUUGGUACCAUUUCGUUUUCAAUUAAUGCAUUUUUACCCAAUACUCAUUGCUGUAUAUUUGCUGUACGUGCAUUUAUUCAUGCAUCAGGUUCGACUAAAUUCCCCUAUCUUUUUGAAGGGGAUUAAAUCAUUUAUUAAAUACAGUAUUUAGUGCUCAAAAUACUACAUACAUACCUGCAAACGUGCAGGUAAAAGAUACACAAUGAAGGUAGUUAUUUGAACAGUAUGUAAUCUUUACAUCCUGGCCACAUCCUGGUGAACACAGGAAUAUUUUUUGACAAUUUAGAACCACAAUAAAAUGAUCUCUUUAAUACUAGCAAGAAAUAGUGAGAUAGAAUUUAUUUUUAAAAUUCGUGUCUGCACUGCCUUAAUUCCUAGCUUGUACCACAUUUUAUUAUGUGCAGUACACAACAAACCAUAAAGUCUACUAAGAGCUGUCCCAAAAAUCAUUAAAUUGGCACAAAAUUAAAUAAAAAACGUGACCAUAUGGUUAAAAAAAUUGUGGCAGACCCACCAGCUAACAGUAUACUACAUAGAAUCUUGUUGGGUCAAAAUCCAAAGUGUACAGGUCUACAUGUAACUUUGAAUGUCUCGUUAAAUUAGACCAUGUCUGCUAUUAUCGAGAUAUAUGACAGGACUUGUUGCAAUAAAAUAUUGCUUUAUCUGGCCAGUAAAUUCCUGUAAUUUAAUUUAACUAGUGUCAAUGUACUAGCUACUAUUGUGCUUGAAACCUGUGCGGGGUCCUACUAAAAAUCGAUGACAAUAUUUGUUGUGGAACCAGAGUAGUGCAAUAUGCUUCCAAAAUUAGAAGCUUAACUACCCAUUUUUUUUUUUUUUUUAUGUACUUUAAGGACGGUUUUAGUAAUUACAGUUGAAUCCCGUCGUCUCAAACCCUGUUGGGGCUCAAGAAAGUGUUGGACCCAUCGGGUAGUUCGACGUAACCAUUUGGGACUUUGUUUUUGGUUUGAGCGUUGCAGUAUAUUCGACCCAAUGAGAUUCUACUGUAUAUCCAUGGUAUACAUGUUGAUUGAAACACUGUGUAGCAGUUUUAGCCAUACAUUCUUACAUGUAUUAUUGUCAAUUAAGAUCUGUUUUGAUUUAGUAGUAUAACCCCAGCAGGUUUAAGACUACAUAAUAUAUUGUUGUAAUAACAUGACUAAUAUGUAUAUUUAUUGUGUCUUGUUAAAUUCCACAUACUGGUGUGAAUUAACUGAUCCCUUUGUUGCAAAAAUGCAGCUCAUGGGUCGUGUUUUAUGACGUGAUCUUAGUGCUAAACUCACCUUAAGUGCAUAAGAUAGACACUUGAGUGGAAUUUAGUUACCAGAUCGCUGCGUAAAAUGGGUCCCAGGUUUUUAUUUACCAUAUAGUCAUUCCACACAAUAAGUUGUAUACAUACAUGCAAUAUGUAUAUCGAAUUUACUUUUGAAGACAGACAUGGCUUACUACAAUGUGCAAUAAAAAUCUUCGUCUUUCAGUUAAUA
RNAcentral lists this long non-coding RNA (3891 nucleotides) under Gigantopelta aegis. Its description in RNAcentral is "uncharacterized LOC121389940". Lineage: Eukaryota; Metazoa; Mollusca; Gastropoda; Neomphalida; Peltospiridae. The record is from RNAcentral.